UCCAUCCACCUACCCCUUCUAUG
This 23-nucleotide non-coding RNA is filed under the name Arabidopsis thaliana (thale cress). Lineage: Eukaryota; Viridiplantae; Streptophyta; Magnoliopsida; Brassicales; Brassicaceae. The record is from RNAcentral.